Galeopterus variegatus (Sunda flying lemur) is the source of this 1085-nucleotide long non-coding RNA. RefSeq lists it as uncharacterized. The record is from RefSeq and is a predicted model, not a curated record. Lineage: Eukaryota; Metazoa; Chordata; Mammalia; Dermoptera; Cynocephalidae. The transcript is spliced from 2 exons.
AAAUAUUAUAAGAGUACCCAAGUUGGAAUAAAGAAAACUUGCUUGAUUACGGUCACUGAAAUAUUGUGGGAGUAGCUUUGUCUCCAGAGUAGGGCUUUAAGUACAUUUCUGGGUUUUUUUGUAUUAAAUAAAAUAUGAAUAUGAAGCUUCUCUGACAAACCUUAAACCUCUUUUAAUGGACUUAGCCUUAGAAUAUUAUUUAUUAAUAUCAAGGAAUUUUUUUUAUAUGUUUUGCUCUCUAUGGGCAUGCAGAUAUUUUAGACAGCAAAUAUUAAACCAAUGUAUUUAGCUGAUUAUAUUGUUUAAAGUACAUUACAUAACAUUGUAUGCCUAAAAGUUCUGGAACAGAUUGAAAGUGCAUUCCUUAUGCAGGGUAACUUUAUUUACCACUUUUUUUCUGAUUUACAGUUAAUCAUGUCAUUAUUCAGUUGUUAGUUCUUUAGACUUUGACUGCCAUGUGACUAUAAUAUUGGUCUCACCGGUGAGGCAGAGUGCAGGAAGUUGCUGCUGCCACCGCAGGGCUUGGGUGGGCUGGCCCCUGCCUUACUCUCCACUGCUUCUGUGCUCCAGCCACAGUGAGCUGCUUAUGUGUUUUCCAAUGUGCUGUGUUCCUCUGCUCUCAGGGGCUUUGUCCACUCUGUUCCAUUCACUUAGGACAUUUUCUCCAGGGCUCUCUAUAACCUGGUUUCACCUGAUUUACGGUAGAAAACCAUAGCCCCCAUCCCAGAACCAUUCUUCCUCAUGGAAACCCUCCCAGACCCUUCAGCCUAUGUCAUGUUCUUCUAAAAUUCCCAUCAUCUUUGAAAAACCCUGUAUUUUUCCUUCUUAGCUUACCUCAUUGUCUAAUGAAGAAUUUGUGAUGGUGUGGAUGUCUGUCUCCUCCUUAGAUUGUAAGCUCCAUGAGGGCAAGGACUGUGACUGUUUUGCUGAUAAGGCUGUAUCCACAGUGUCCAGCACAAAGUAGGCACAAAGUAAAUAUUUUUGAAUGAUGCAUAAAUAAAAAGGAAAGCAAGUUGGAAUAAACUUUUUGGAGGAUAAAUUGGCAGUAUGAAUAAAAACACUUAAGAGGAUGGUGGUGGGCUGCA